AUUGAACGCUGGCGGCAUGCCUUACACAUGCAAGUCGAACGGUAACGGGCCUUCGGGUGCCGACGAGUGGCGAACGGGUGAGUAAUGUAUCGGAACGUACCUUUCAGUGGGGGAUAACGUAGCGAAAGUUACGCUAAUACCGCAUAUUCUGUGAGCAGGAAAGCAGGGGAUCGCAAGACCUUGCGCUGAUUGAGCGGCCGAUAUCAGAUUAGCUAGUUGGUGAGGUAAAAGGCUCACCAAGGCGACGAUCUGUAGCGGGUCUGAGAGGAUGAUCCGCCACACUGGAACUGAGACACGGUCCAGACUCCUACGGGAGGCAGCAGUGGGGAAUUUUGGACAAUGGGGGGCAACCCUGAUCCAGCCAUGCCGCGUGAGUGAAGAAGGCCUUCGGGUU
This 394-nucleotide ribosomal RNA is filed under the name uncultured bacterium. RNAcentral's name for it is "bacterial SSU rRNA". It matches the Rfam family "Bacterial small subunit ribosomal RNA", at positions 30 to 424 of the family's 1533-position model. The record is from RNAcentral.